UUACAAGUUAUUAAGAGCACACGGGGAAUGCCUAGGCUCUCAGAGGCGAUGAAGGACGUGAUAAGCUGCGAAAAGCUGCGGGGAUUGGCAAAUACGAUUUGAUCCGCAGAUAUCCGAAUGGGGCAACCCAGCAUUUUGAAGAAAUGUUAUCCAGUAAUGGAGGCGAACGUGGGGAACUGAAACAUCUAAGUACCCAUAGGAGAAGAAAACAAUAGUGAUUUCCGUAGUAGCGGCGAGCGAAGUGGAAACAGCCCAAACCGAUUUUGUUUCGGCAGAGUCGGGGUUGUAGGACUACAAUGUGGACUUAUAUAUUAUAGUAGAAGACGUUUGGAAAGGCGCAUCAAAGAAGGUGAUAAUCCUGUAUACGAAAUAAUAUAUAUACCUAGUAGUAUCCUGAGUAGGGCGGGGCACGUGAAACCCUGUCUGAAUCUACCGGGACCAUCCGGUAAGGCUAAAUACU
RNAcentral lists this ribosomal RNA (460 nucleotides) under uncultured Cryomorphaceae bacterium. RNAcentral's name for it is "bacterial LSU rRNA". It matches the Rfam family "Bacterial large subunit ribosomal RNA", at positions 1 to 474 of the family's 2925-position model. Lineage: Bacteria; Pseudomonadati; Bacteroidota; Flavobacteriia; Flavobacteriales; Cryomorphaceae. The record is from RNAcentral.